CCAUCCCUGGAGGUGUUUAAGCAUGGUGUGGACGUGGCACUAAGGGACGUGGCUUAGUGAUGGCACUUGGUGAUCCUGCAGGUCUUUUCCAACCUGGAUGAUUCUAUGAUCCAAGAGUGCUGGGGCCGGUACCCUGCAGGUUUUGACACCCUGAACCUCAGGAGGUGAAUCACGGACUGGGACUUCUCAGCAAAUGGCCCCAGGGAGAGCUCAGCACCCAAGCAAAUGUCCUAAGGGAGACCUCAGCACCCAGCCAGCUACCUCUCAGGUGGGUUGCACCUUCCUGGUGGUGGGAGCCUGUCCCAGCGCCGUUCCUGGCUGACAUUUGGCAGAAACCCCUCUCCCUGCCGGGCGUUCCCAGUUGUCCCGCGGCCACCCUGUCCCCACCUGAAGACCCAGUGCCACCAGCCCCGGAGCUGUCACUCGUGCGGCGAUGCCGGGGUCACAUUGAGCCCUCCCGGCCCCGCAGCAGGCAGCGCGAGCUGUCUGCUGCCUCUGACAACUCAUCCGUCACGGAGCAGGGCCAGCGGCUGCGAGAUGCCGCGGAAGGGAGAGAAUUAAAAGAGGGAGAGAGAAAGAGCAAUCAAUACAUUAUUUAACAGCGGGAAUGCAAAUGACAAAAAAUUAAUGAGGCCUCUCCCCCCCUCCGCCCCCUCCCCCAGCCCUCCUUUGCAGUGAGAUUGCUGACAAAUUCUCUGGAAAAUAUCAAAACAGCCGGAGGGUGUAACCUGCCAGAGUGAUGCACCAUUAUCUAUUAUUGAUGGAAACCUUGACAAGUUCCCUUUAAAAAAAGGAGAGAGAAAGGGAGGGAGAGAGGGGAAAAAAACGCAUCUAAUCUUUGUUUUAAAGCUACAGUUUCUCGUUUUCUCUCCCCCGAGGGCGGACGAGCUGCAGAAGUCCUCCCAGCACGGCUCUGCCCAGCGAUGCUCCCAGCCUGCGGGCUGGAGCUGAGGGGGACGGGGUGCCAGAGGCAGGGUGGUUGUUGCUCCCUCCUCCCUCAGCCCCAUAAAGAGUCUUUUAAGCCUCAUUUAAAGAUGCAAGAGGGCUGAGCUGAUGGAGAUGACACUUGGGAUCGUGUUUGGGGAGAAUUUGGGGCCCCUGGAGCAGGGGGAGCAGAGGAUCAAAGCAAGCCCACAGGAGAGGUUGGCCAUGAGACGGGCUGAAUUCCUUCUAGGAAAAGAGACUAGAGGAAAAAAUACCCAGCAAGUCCCCAAAGUGAGUCAGAACCACUGCUGAGUGGCAGAGAGGCAAGAGACCACAGGAGCCAGCUAGCAGCAGCUAUCGAGCAUGCUGGCGAGCGACACACUGCAGGGAUUAAUACUUUAUAAAUGUCACUGGCCUCCUGACAGGCUCCUGUAUAAUCCUUUUCUUCAGCCUCUUACAGCAAAACCCCCCAAACAACCCACGUCCCUCCUCCCACCUGUUCCACCAUCCCCAUGCCAGCAUCCCUGAGCCGCCUCACCCUGAAUUGGUGGCCUGGCUCCCUUUUUACUCGGGCUCCUCUUUCCAGAGCUCACCACCAGGAAGGCAGUGCCCUUCACCAUGCCUCAUUUUCUCAGGGCACACACAGAGACAGCCAUGGGCACUCACACCAAGUCCCUCAAGGACGCCGAGGGAUUUGUUCCAGGCAGGUGCUGAAAUCCAGCCCCGAAAUCCCCAUCCUCUGGCUGGGAGCUUCAGGAAUUUCCCCUGGAGCUGCAAGGAGCUGAGUCUCGAUGUCCACCCAAAGUGCUGCGCCUGGUCCCAUCUCCCCAUGCAGGCUGAAGCACUGAGGACCAGAAGAAGAAAAAGACGAUAACAAAGACAGUAACACAACUGGAGAGACUUGUGCUGAGAUGCUCCAGCUCCUGCAGCAGGGCUCCUUGGCACACCUUGGGCAAGGAAAGCAGCUCUUUGUGGAGCUGAGGGUCACCCCUGGGCCAGCUGCAGGGGACAGAAAGCAGCCAGAGCAGUGCUGCAAGUGCUGCGUCCAGCCAGAGCAUUGUUUUUGCUUGUCCACCAUCCGUCU
This is a long non-coding RNA of Oxyura jamaicensis (ruddy duck), 2008 nucleotides long. RefSeq lists it as uncharacterized. The transcript is spliced from 3 exons. Lineage: Eukaryota; Metazoa; Chordata; Aves; Anseriformes; Anatidae. The record is from RefSeq and is a predicted model, not a curated record.